CAAAUUAUAAUCUUAUUUAUAAAGUUCUAGAUAGGCACCAUCUUGUUCUCUGUUUUUACAGUGUUCAUAGAAUCAUAGAAUGGUUUGGAUUGGAAGAGACCUUUAAGACCAUCUGGUUCCAACCCCCCUGCUAUAGGCAGGGACACCUCCCACUAGAACAGGUUGCUUAAAGCCCCAUCCAGCCUGGCCUUGAAAUCCUCCUAAGUGAUGCUUACAAUGGAAUCAUAACUAAUGACAGAAGUUGCAGUUGUUGCCAUCAAGGAUGUGGCAAGAGAUCUUCCUCUGAAUAUAGAGCUUCAGGAAAGCUGUUCUCCAAAACAAAAUCAAGGUUGGAACAUUUAAGUGAAUUCGUUUCCAUGAGAACAGAUUGCUGAAGAAAUCAUUCAGCUUACAUUUUAUCAGACUGCUGAAUGAACUCUGGAUUUUUUUUGCAGUUCUAGGAGACCUUGUUGCUGUUGACACUGAAGCCGAGGCAAAAGAGAAUGCUGGGAAGAAGGAUACAAGCAGCUGCUCUGGAAGGAAAGAGCAGAUCCAGAGCUUUGGCAGAGCCCUAACCUACUGCACCAUGUUUGGCCCUAGUGCUGAGGCCUUUUCCUUUGGGCAGCGCUAUGCAAUCACUGGCACUUGCCCAGAGGCUGAGGAGAAGCAGGACUUGAUGUUGUUUCUCCUUUUUUUUUUUUUUUUUCUUUUUUUCCUGCAGUUCCUUGGCAGUGAAAAAAGUCUGUGUGGACCCACCACUUGGGG
This 744-nucleotide long non-coding RNA is filed under the name Numida meleagris (helmeted guineafowl). RNAcentral's name for it is "lncRNA (ENSNMEG00000005520.1)". Lineage: Eukaryota; Metazoa; Chordata; Aves; Galliformes; Numididae. The record is from RNAcentral.